UACUUAGGGAUCUGUCCUUGAGCGGGGGAUAACCAUUGGAAACGAUGGCUAAUACCGCAUAACGUCUACGGACCAAAGGGGGCUUCGGCUCUCGCUCGAGGAGGAACCUAAGCGAGAUUAGCUUGUUGGUGAGGUAAAGGCUCACCAAGGCGACGAUCUCUAGCUGUUCUGAGAGGAAGAUCAGCCACACUGGGACUGAGACACGGCCCAGACUCCUACGGGAGGCAGCAGUGGGGAAUAUUGCACAAUGGGGGAAACCCUGAUGCAGCCAUGCCGCGUGUGUGAAGAAGGCCUGGUUGU
Molecule: ribosomal RNA, 300 nt
Filed under: uncultured Glaciecola sp.
Lineage: Bacteria; Pseudomonadati; Pseudomonadota; Gammaproteobacteria; Alteromonadales; Alteromonadaceae
Description: bacterial SSU rRNA
Rfam family: Bacterial small subunit ribosomal RNA
Source: RNAcentral